This 468-nucleotide ribosomal RNA is filed under the name uncultured bacterium. Its description in RNAcentral is "partial 16S ribosomal RNA". It matches the Rfam family "Bacterial small subunit ribosomal RNA", at positions 28 to 507 of the family's 1533-position model. The record is from RNAcentral.
GACGAACGCUGGCGGCGUGCUUAACACAUGCGAGUCGAACGGAAAGGCCCUGCUUUUGUGGGGUGCUCGAGUGGCGAACGGGUGAGUAACACGUGAGUAACCUGCCCUUGACUUUGGGAUAACUUCAGGAAACUGGGGCUAAUACCGGAUAGGAGCUCCUGCUGCAUGGUGGGGGUUGGAAAGUUUCGGCGGUUGGGGAUGGACUCGCGGCUUAUCAGCUUGUUGGUGGGGUAGUGGCUUACCAAGGCUUUGACGGGUAGCCGGCCUGAGAGGGUGACCGGCCACAUUGGGACUGAGAUACGGCCCAGACUCCUACGGGAGGCAGCAGGGGGGAAGAUUGCACAAUGGGCGGAAGCCUGAUGCAGCAACGCCGCGUGCGGGAUGACGGCCUUCGGGUUGUAAACCGCUUUCGCCUGUGACGAAGCGUGAGUGACGGUAAUGGGUAAAGAAGCACCGGCUAACUACGUG